Molecule: ribosomal RNA, 406 nt
Filed under: Salmonella enterica
Lineage: Bacteria; Pseudomonadati; Pseudomonadota; Gammaproteobacteria; Enterobacterales; Enterobacteriaceae
Also listed under: 2 other names
Description: bacterial SSU rRNA
Rfam family: Bacterial small subunit ribosomal RNA
Source: RNAcentral
GCGCACGCAGGCGGUCUGUCAAGUCGGAUGUGAAAUCCCCGGGCUCAACCUGGGAACUGCAUUCGAAACUGGCAGGCUUGAGUCUUGUAGAGGGGGGUAGAAUUCCAGGUGUAGCGGUGAAAUGCGUAGAGAUCUGGAGGAAUACCGGUGGCGAAGGCGGCCCCCUGGACAAAGACUGACGCUCAGGUGCGAAAGCGUGGGGAGCAAACAGGAUUAGAUACCCUGGUAGUCCACGCCGUAAACGAUGUCUACUUGGAGGUUGUGCCCUUGAGGCGUGGCUUCCGGAGCUAACGCGUUAAGUAGACCGCCUGGGGAGUACGGCCGCAAGGUUAAAACUCAAAUGAAUUGACGGGGGCCCGCACAAGCGGUGGAGCAUGUGGUUUAAUUCGAUGCAACGCGAAGAACC